GACUUGAUCUGUUGGUGAUCGUAUUCUGUUGGUGACUCUUGGUUCCUGUUGGUGACUUGGUUCUGAAGAAUGGGUCUCAGAUGACUUUGGGGUUCCAGAUGACUUUGUGGUUCCGAAUUCAGGCCGAAGCUUUGAUCUUGUGCUCCAUGAUACAUAGCCAACCGGUCGUGUUUGCAUCAUUUGCAUCAUAGCAUAUUUAUUUUCAAAAAAAAAAAUAAUGCAAAAAAAAGAAAUGAAAAAAAGGAAAAAAAGAAAAGAAAAAAGCU
Molecule: long non-coding RNA, 266 nt
Filed under: Lathyrus oleraceus (garden pea)
Lineage: Eukaryota; Viridiplantae; Streptophyta; Magnoliopsida; Fabales; Fabaceae
Description: Pisum sativum (pea) long non-coding RNA (PSAT_LNC014616)
Source: RNAcentral